ACCCAAGGUGCAUGCCGAGGGGCGGUUGGCCUCGUAAAAAGCCGCAAAAAAAUAGUCGCAAACGACGAAAACUACGCUUUAGCAGCUUAAUAACCUGCUUAGAGCCCUCUCUCCCUAGCCUCCGCUCUUAGGACGGGGAUCAAGAGAGGUCAAACCCAAAAGAGAUCGCGUGGAUGCCCUGCCUGGGGUUGAAGCGUUAAAACUAAUCAGGCUAGUCUGUCAGUGGCGUGUCUGUCCGCAGCUGCCAGGCGAAUGUAAAGACUGACUAAGCAUGUAGUACCGAGGAUGUAGGAAUUUCGGACGCGGGUUCAACUCCCGCCAGCUCCACCA
This 330-nucleotide transfer-messenger RNA is filed under the name Mixta calida. Its description in RNAcentral is "partial transfer-messenger RNA". It matches the Rfam family "transfer-messenger RNA". From Rfam's summary of the family: Bacterial tmRNA, also known as 10Sa RNA or SsrA, is named for its dual tRNA and mRNA-like properties. The record is from RNAcentral. Lineage: Bacteria; Pseudomonadati; Pseudomonadota; Gammaproteobacteria; Enterobacterales; Erwiniaceae.